RNAcentral lists this ribosomal RNA (498 nucleotides) under uncultured bacterium. RNAcentral's name for it is "partial 16S ribosomal RNA". It matches the Rfam family "Bacterial small subunit ribosomal RNA", at positions 30 to 523 of the family's 1533-position model. The record is from RNAcentral.
AUUGAACGCUGGCGGCAUGCUUUACACAUGCAAGUCGAACGGUAACAGGCCGCAAGGUGCUGACGAGUGGCGAACGGGUGAGUAAUGCAUCGGAACGUGCCCAGUCGUGGGGGAUAACUAUCCGAAAGGAUAGCUAAUACCGCAUACGAUCUGCGGAUGAAAGCGGGGGACCUUCGGUCCUGGCGCGAUUGGAGCGGCGGAUGUCAGCUUAGGUAGUUGGUGGGGUAAAGGCUCACCAAGCCAACGAUCUGUAGCUGGUCUGAGAGGACGACCAGCCACACUGGGACUGAGACACGGCCCAGACUCCUACGGGAGGCAGCAGUGGGGAAUUUUGGACAAUGGGCGCAAGCCUGAUCCAGCAAUGCCGCGUGCAGGAAGAAGGCCUUCGGGUUGUAAACUGCUUUUGUACGGAACGAAACGGCUCUGGUUAAUACCUGGGGCUAAUGACGGUACCGUAAGAAUAAGCACCGGCUAACUACGUGCCAGCAGCCGCCGUAA